Molecule: long non-coding RNA, 225 nt
Filed under: Elaeis guineensis (African oil palm)
Lineage: Eukaryota; Viridiplantae; Streptophyta; Magnoliopsida; Arecales; Arecaceae
Description: long non-coding RNA (EGUI_LNC066579)
Source: RNAcentral
GCCUUUCCUCAGCCCUCUAACUUUUUUAAGAUCCUACAUAGAAGUGCACAAAUGAGUACUUGAAUCAGAUUCUAGAACCCAACUAGAAGAAGAAAAAACCAUUAGAUUAGUUUCAAUUAUGAGCAAGUCAGACAUACCUUCAAAAGAUCCAUCCUUCUUCCUAUUCUUUACAGUCGUCAGGUAGGCCGGACAGUUCCUUCUCCAAUGGCCUUCGAUAUUGCAAUG